This 73-nucleotide transfer RNA is filed under the name Chloroflexi bacterium 13_1_40CM_4_68_4. Its description in RNAcentral is "tRNA-Thr". It matches the Rfam family "tRNA". Rfam says of the family: Transfer RNA (tRNA) molecules are approximately 80 nucleotides in length. Lineage: Bacteria; Bacillati; Chloroflexota. The record is from RNAcentral. RNAcentral also lists the same sequence under 2 other names.
GCCCAGCUAGCUCAGUCGGUAGAGCACGUCCUUGGUAAGGACGAGGUCACCGGUUCGAUCCCGGUGCUGGGCU